CUUUAUGAUUGAGCCUGGGAUUUAAAAUUUUCAUUGAUCUUUCUUAGAAAGUGGAACUUGUUAGUUUAUUGCUGUUGUUAUCUUCAGAAUUUGAAUGUGUGUUGUUAGCUUGUUUAAAUUUAUUUAUUUAUUUUUUUUCGUAGAUUUUUAGGGUAUGCUCCAGUUUAUACCCAGAUUAACACAUUUUAUUAGUUUUCUUGUAUUCUAGGCACUAGCAUUUUUUUUUUAAAAAUUUCUGGCUAUGUUGUAUCAAAGUCAGUGCAUUUACAUUUUAUAGUCAUCUAAUUCGAACAACUAGUAUGCAUUCAUUUGCUCUUUUUACAUUUUAGAAAUGCAGGUGUCUCUAUUGCUACUUUCCAUUUUUAUCCUUUCUAACGCGGCUGCUUUUUCCUCUUCUACAGUAAGCUUCAGAGUGAUGCCUUGAGGGAAGCCAUUACCAAAGUCCUCCUCCGCUACUCAUCAGCUCUUGUUCAAGGUGCUGCAAAUGUCUUCUGGAUUGACAUCCAAACAAACACAAGGCGUUUCCAAUCUCUCUUCCGGUAUCUUCUGGAGGAAGUUGCUUUGGUGCCUGAGCAAUUAAAGAAAAUUCCCCUGCAGUUAAAUUGGCUCAAUGUUCAAUUUGAAAAAUGUCUCUUGUUUCAAGCAUUUGACCUCUGCGAGAAGUUGGUGCUACAUUCUAACAUUCUCUUCUUCUGUGUUUCUCAUGGCAUAUCUGCCUAGCCUUGCUCUUUCCCCUGGCAUCAACCACAGCCACAUCCCCCUCCGGCACCAUCUCCUUCUCUGCCUACCCCAACCCUCACCACCAAACACUAUCACCUCUUUCCACUUCAUUGUCUAUUCCCAACAGCCGAACACCACCACCAACCACUGUUCCAACGCUACCACCACAAAAACAACCCACCACCAAACCCUCUAUCAACACCACCACAAUCUAAUCACCACCAACAUUAAACUCAGUAGCUAGUAUUACGGAUGAAUUAACCAAAAUUCUUCUAGUGAUGAUUAGAGUCGAUUACUUGAUAUUUUAAUAACUCGGUACUUUUCAUUUUUUACACUACUCUUUAGUUCUUCUCAAUCAAACUCGAAGAACAACUGACAACCAAGUAUUAAAGCAACUCAGACCUUUGAUUGUUAAUAGAGAGGUCAUAAUAAUGUUGUCUGAAUGGAAGAGAGAGGGAAGAUGCAUAGGGCAGUACUGUGGG
Non-coding RNA from Camellia sinensis, 1202 nucleotides. The record is from RefSeq and is a predicted model, not a curated record. Lineage: Eukaryota; Viridiplantae; Streptophyta; Magnoliopsida; Ericales; Theaceae.